AUCCUUUUGUUGUUGUAAAGAGAAUUAUUGCCAGAGAAAUGGGAUUGUAGAAGUGGCUCACAUUAAAUGCCACAGAAGUUGUUCUAUACAGUUGAAGUCCGGUCAGCCAUUCGUUCGUCAUUGGAAGGACAGGAACAAAAAUCAGCCCAAGUCACCAAUGUUAGACUAGUUAGCAAUUGUCAUGUUUUUGACAUAGUUGCAGUUAUUUUCAUAUGUAUAAGCAAACAUGUGCAGCAAAUUCUUAAUGAAGUCAAAAGUAUUGAAUUAGUCAUUUUUACUGGGA
This 283-nucleotide unclassified non-coding RNA is filed under the name Hevea brasiliensis (rubber tree). The record is from RNAcentral. Lineage: Eukaryota; Viridiplantae; Streptophyta; Magnoliopsida; Malpighiales; Euphorbiaceae.